CGACGCCAUCUUGGACUCGAGAAAGUAAACAAAGAGAGAGAGAGAGAGAGAUGAUGGGCGAGAGAGCGGGGAAAGAUAAUGACUGCUACUUCUACUACUACUCGUCUUGUUCAAAGGGAGAGAUGUGUAAAUUCCGCCAUGAACCAGCUGCCCUCCGGAACGAGACCGUCUGUUUAUAUUGGAGGAGUGGCAAAUGCAGAAGAGAUAAAUGCAUAUUUCGCCACAUGGAGAUAGCCAAACCAAGAGAUCGCAUUGCAUGUUUUUUUGAGACACAGCCGGGGGGAUGCCGGAAGCCUCACUGUCCUUUUCAACAUUCGGCUGUUAAGACUGCGGAUGACGAACUAUCUGUAGACGGAGCUAUUCUACCAGUGAGGCUGCCGGAUGACUCCACCCCUCCACCCCCUAAUGCCAAGGGAGGGGUCACCGCCCCCCAGAAGACUCCGGUUAUUGUCGCUCUACAUGAUGGUGAAAGUGAUGCAGAAACUAAUGCUGGGUCUCCACUUAAGCAGUCAACUACUACUACUACUACUACUACUACUGCUACUACUACUACUACUACUUAUAAACAAGAACUCAGGAAAUUAAGGAAAAUUCAAGAGGAAGAAGCCGACCUCCUUGGGUACACCAUUAGUUUGGAUGAAGAGGAAGAGGAGGAGAAGGAAGAGGAGGAGGAGCAAGAGGAGAUAAUAUAUCAAGAAAUCAUAUUAGCAGACCAUGAGGAAACCGACCAAUCAGACGCCACGCACCACAGACUGUCAGCGAAUCAGGACCUGCGAAUGUUGCUCUCCAGGAAACCGGCGAAUCGCAGCCCUCCACACCUCUGCCAGCCAGCCAAUCAGAGCACAGGAACCAAUAAGCGACAGAAUAACCCAGAUUCACCUGAUAAUAAACGCCAGGAGGUGAAGAAGAGGCUAGGAUUGACUGACAACAACUGGAACUAUAAAUGCAACGAACGUCAAGAUAUUGCAAGUGACGCAGACAAUAAACGCCAGAAUCUUGAAGAAUACACAGGAAGCACUGGCAAUAAACGCCUGAACCUUGAAGAAAAUGCUCCAAACAGGAUUCAUAAACGCCUGAAUCCUCUCGCUGCCCCACAGGAACAGAGGUAUAAGGGAAUCGAACAACGAACAGUUACUCUUCCCAAUAAACGCCAGAACUUUGAGGAAGAUAAGGAAUGGCCGAAAUAUAAACGCCAGAAACUGCAGGAGAGGCUGGGAGAGGCCGCCAAUAAGCGCAAGAAUCCUUCAAUUGCAGGAAAAGCUAUAAUGGAAGUGAUUGGAGGAAGAGGAAGAGGAGGAGGAGGAGGAGGAGGAGGAGGAGGAGUGUUAGCUAGAUUAGGGAAGCUGCAGAUGUCUUCCUCUUCCUCCUCCUCUCUUCCUCCUCCCCUUCCAGUGUUAAAACAAGGUUAGGUCUAGCCUCCUGCUCCUCUUCUUCCUCUUCCUCCUCCUCCUCUUCCUCUUUGGUGCAGAAAAAUUGAUAUUAAAAGGAGAUUAGGCCAAAAUGCUUCACCUUCUCUUCCUCUUCCUCCUCCUCCUCCUCCUCCUCCUCCUCCUCCUCCUUGAAUUUUGAAGUCAAGAGCUUAUCAGAAAUUAAAGCAUUGAAAAAUUACUCAUCUCGUGUUUCAAAAUACGAUGGGAACUGUCAACAAACUGCCGCGGAACAGCAAAAAAAACGCCCGCAGAUCCUGGAAAAACCUGCCGGAACUCAGAGAAAGAUGGCCGACGAGACUGAAGGAGGGUCUGAAAAUGCCGCCAAAUUAACGACGACUCAUGGAACAGACAGGAACGGCAGGAAAAAUCCCACAGAACGCCCAGAAAGUGCCGACAGAACCUGUGAGUUUCGGAAAAUGAUGAGAUUUUUGACGUAAACAAGCCUAACGACCUGAUUGCUUCCUCUGCAAACGACUUUAGAGGAAGAAUUGUUGUUAGAAGGAGAGACUCUUGAGAUUGAUGAUAUUGAUGAAGAGGCAUUGCUGUUGUGAGAGAGAGAGAGAGAGAGAGAGAGAGAGAGAGUGGGUAGGCUACAGAUUUGAAUGAAAAAAAAGAGAGAGAAUUAAAGACAGAGAGAGAGAGAGAGAGAGAGACAUUGUACAAACAGAUUCUAAUUUUUUUUUUUUUUUGUGUGAGAGAGAGAGAGAGAGAGAGAGAGAGAGAGAGAAUAUACAUAAUUUCAUUGUACAAAAUAGUUUUAUGUGUAAUAAUUGUACUACUACUACUACUAUUACUACUACUACUACUACUACUACUACUUCUAUAAUUCUCUCCUCCUCUUCCUCUUCUUGUGUUCCUCUACUAUCACCACCACCACUACUACUACUACCACCAUCACCACCACCACUACUACUACUACUACUACUACUACUACUUGUUUUCAUAUUAAAAAAAAAAGACAUUUUAGUUAAUGAUGAAAAAAAUUGUAAAAAAUAAGAACUAAUUCAAUAAUAAUAAUAAUAAUAAUAAUAAUAAUAAUAAUGUAAUUUUUGCUCAUGUAUUUAAUCUUGUGAAUUAUUAUUAUUAUUAUUAUUAUUAUUAUUAUUACUAUUAUUACUAUUAUUAUUAUCAUUAUUAUUAUCAUUAUUAUAUUAAGAGUAUUUUUAAGAUGUAAAUAAAAAUGUCCACGAA
Long non-coding RNA from Scylla paramamosain (green mud crab), 2621 nucleotides. RefSeq lists it as uncharacterized. The record is from RefSeq and is a predicted model, not a curated record. The transcript is spliced from 7 exons. Lineage: Eukaryota; Metazoa; Arthropoda; Malacostraca; Decapoda; Portunidae.